Molecule: ribosomal RNA, 514 nt
Filed under: uncultured bacterium
Lineage: Bacteria
Description: partial 16S ribosomal RNA
Rfam family: Bacterial small subunit ribosomal RNA
Source: RNAcentral
UGGGGAAUAUUGCACAAUGGGCGAAAGCCUGAUGCAGCAACGCCGCGUGAGGGACGACGGCCUUCGGGUUGUAAACCUCUUUAGCAAGGAAGAAGCGAAAGUGACGGUACUUGCAGAAAAACGCGCCGGCUAACUACGUGCCAGCAGCCGCGGUAAUACGUAGGGCGCAAGCGUUAUCCGGAAUUAUUGGGCGUAAAGAGCUCGUAGGCGGUUUGUCGCGUCUGCUGUGAAAACCCGAGGCUCAACCUCGGGCCUGCAGUGGGUACGGGCAGACUAGAGUGCGGUAGGGAGAUUGGAACUCCUGGUGUAGCGGUGGAAUGCGCAGAUAUCAGGAAGAACACCGAUGGCGAAGGCAGAUCUCUGGGCCGUAACUGACGCUGAGGAGCGAAAGGGUGGGGAGCAAACAGGCUUAGAUACCCUGGUAGUCACCCCGUAAACGUUGGGACUAGUUGUGGGGUCCAUUCCACGGAUUCCGUGACGCAGCUAACGCAUUAAGUUCCCCGCCUGGGGAGUA